CAGCAGCCACGGUAAUACAGAGGGUGCGAGCGUUAAUCGGAUUUACUGGGCGUAAAGCGUGUGUAGGUUGUUGUUCAAGUCAGUUGUGAAAUCCCUGGGCUCAACCUGGGAACUGCUUCUGAGACUGAACGACUAGAGUACGGUAGAGGGUGGUGGAAUUUCCGGUGUAGCGGUGAAAUGCGUAGAUAUCGGAAGGAACAUCAAUGGCGAAGGCAGCCACCUGGGCCUGUACCGACACUGAGACACGAAAGCGUGGGGAUCAAACAGGAUUAGAUACCCCAGUAGUCCCUGUCUCUUAUAC
RNAcentral lists this ribosomal RNA (301 nucleotides) under uncultured bacterium. RNAcentral describes it as "partial 16S ribosomal RNA". It matches the Rfam family "Bacterial small subunit ribosomal RNA", at positions 509 to 807 of the family's 1533-position model. The record is from RNAcentral.